RNAcentral lists this ribosomal RNA (250 nucleotides) under uncultured bacterium. RNAcentral describes it as "partial 16S ribosomal RNA". It matches the Rfam family "Bacterial small subunit ribosomal RNA", at positions 524 to 773 of the family's 1533-position model. The record is from RNAcentral.
UACAGAGGGUGCGAGCGUUAGUCGGAAUUAUUGGGCGUAAAGGGCGCGUAGGCGGAUAAUUAAGUGGGAUGUGAAAGCCCCGGGCUCAACCUGGGAAUGGCAUUCCAAACUGAUUGUCUAGAGUAUAGUAGAGGUGAGUGGAAUUUCUGGUGUAGCAGUGAAAUGCGUAGAGAUCAGAAGGAACACCAGUGGCGAAGGCGGCUCACUGGACUAAUACUGACGCUGAGGCGCGAAGGCGUGGGGAGCAAAC